RNAcentral lists this ribosomal RNA (524 nucleotides) under uncultured Diversispora. RNAcentral describes it as "SSU rRNA". It matches the Rfam family "Eukaryotic small subunit ribosomal RNA", at positions 569 to 1092 of the family's 1831-position model. The record is from RNAcentral. Lineage: Eukaryota; Fungi; Glomeromycota; Glomeromycetes; Diversisporales; Diversisporaceae.
AGCAGCCGCGGUAAUUCCAGCUCCAAUAGCGUAUAUUAAAGUUGUUGCAGUUAAAAAGCUCGUAGUUGAACUUCGGAAUUUAUUCAUUGGUCAGGCUUAACUGUCUGUACUGGUGUGUUGAAUUCCUACCUUCUGACGAAUCUCCAUGUCAUUCAUUUGGUGUGGUGGGGAAUCAGGACUGUUACUUUGAAAAAAUUAGAGUGUUUAAAGCAGGCUAACGUCUGAAUACAUUAGCAUGGAAUAAUAAAAUAGGACGGUUUGGUUCUAUUUUGUUGGUUUCUAGGAUCACCGUAAUGAUUAAUAGGGAUAGUUGGGGGCAUUAGUAUUCAAUUGUCAGAGGUGAAAUUCUUGGAUUUAUUGAAGACUAACUACUGCGAAAGCAUUUGCCAAGGAUGUUUUCAUUAAUCAAGAACGAAAGUUAGGGGAUCGAAGACGAUCAGAUACCGUCGUAGUCUUAACCAUAAACUAUGCCGACUAGGGAUCGGACGAAGUUAAUUUUUAAAUGACUCGUUCGGCACCUUACG